GGGCUCACUUCAGCAGCACAUGUACUAAAAUUGGAAAGCUACAGAGAAGGUUGGCAUGUUCCGAGCACAAGGAUGACAUGCAAAUUUGUAAAGCGUUUCAUGCUUUC
This is a small nuclear RNA of Ailuropoda melanoleuca (giant panda), 107 nucleotides long. NCBI's taxonomy places the organism in Eukaryota, Metazoa, Chordata, Mammalia, Carnivora, Ursidae. The record is from Ensembl.